UACUGACGCUAAAGCUCGAAGGUGCGGGUAUCGAACAGGAUUAGAUACCCUGGUAGUCCGCACGGUAAACGAUGGAUGCCCGCUGUUUGCGAUAUACUGUGAGCGGCCAAGAGAAAUCGUUAAGCAUCCCACCUGGGGAGUACGCCGGCAACGGUGAAACUCAAAGGAAUUGACGGGGGCCCGCACAAGCGGAGGAACAUGUGGUUUAAUUCGAUGAUACGCGAGGAACCUUACCCGGGCUUGAACUGCAGGCGAACGAUACAGAGAUGUUGAGGCCCUUCGGGGCGCCUGUGGAGGUGCUGCAUGGUUGUCGUCAGCUCGUGCCGUGAGGUGUCGGCUUAAGUGCCAUAACGAGCGCAACCCUUUCCAUUAGUUGCCAUCAGGUAAUGCUGGGCACUCUGGUGAUACUGCCACCGUAAGGUGUGAGGAAGGUGGGGAUGACGUCAAAUCAGCACGGCCCUUACGUCCGGGGCUACACACGUGUUACAAUGGGGGGUACAGAGAGUCGGAUGUACGCAAGUACAUUCUAAUCCUAAAAGCCUUCCUCAGUUCGGAUUGGGGUCUGCAACCCGACCCCAUGAAGCUGGAUUCGCUAGUAAUC
This 601-nucleotide ribosomal RNA is filed under the name uncultured bacterium. RNAcentral describes it as "bacterial SSU rRNA". It matches the Rfam family "Bacterial small subunit ribosomal RNA", at positions 738 to 1343 of the family's 1533-position model. The record is from RNAcentral.